AAGUGCGAUAAGUGGUAUCA
RNAcentral lists this ribosomal RNA (20 nucleotides) under Leishmania sp. C1. Its description in RNAcentral is "partial 5.8S ribosomal RNA". Lineage: Eukaryota; Euglenozoa; Kinetoplastea; Trypanosomatida; Trypanosomatidae. RNAcentral also lists the same sequence under 4 other names. The record is from RNAcentral.